UCGUGGGCUCAGCGGCCAAACCCCACACAGCCGCUCGCUCACGGCCUCACCAGCAGCACCCGGGAAAGAAUCAGAAGGGUAAAACCUGGGAAACUCGUGGGUUGAGAUAAAGACAGUUCAAUAGGGAAAGCAAAAGCCACACACACAAACGAAGAAAAACACUUCACUGCUCCCCAUGGGGCGUCAGGUGUUCAGCCAUCCCCUGUAGAGCAGGGCCGCAUCGCACAUGGCAAUGACUUGGGAAGACAAACACCUUCACUCCAAAUGUCCCCCCUUCCUCCUUCUUAUCCCCAGUUUUAUACACUGAGCACGUUGUCACAUGGUCUGGAACACCCCUUUGGUCAGUUUGUGUCUCCUGUCCUGGCUGUGUCUCCUCCCCUACACCCCCAGCUUCCUCGCCAGUGUGGCAGUGCAAAAGGCAGGGAAGGCCUUGGCUCUGUGUAAGGCCUGCUCAGCAAUUACAAAAAACAUCUCUGUAUUAUCAACCCUUGGCAGAAUCCACACAAAGCCCCACACCAGCCACUGUGAAGAAAGCUAAAUCUAAACCCAGCACAUACAGCUGGGGAGAUGCUUGAGGAAGUGAGCACCCUGCACGCUGUUGUGAUCGCUCAGGCUGGGCUUGUUGUGCUUGUGCAGUUGGGACAUUCAAGGCAUCCGCUUCUCAGCAGCCUGUGAGAUAGCAAUGGAGAAUGACAGAGCACCACUUUCUCAAAUUUGUGCUCACUGAAACCUUCCCAAACUGGAGGUUAACCAGGAUUUUCAAGUUCUUAUUAUAAGGAUUUAGUUUCAACAAGAUAAACUGGAGUGAAUUUUUGCUCCUAUGAGGGUCUCAGUCCCUUUUGUGAGUGGCCAAUGCUCAUAUGACUGGAGCAGAGGCUAUUUAAUUCUUCUCCAAGUGUCAAAGUGAUGUACUCCAUUUUGUUCCAAGCACCUUUAUUUUGAACUGAAAAUAUUCUUUUAUUCCUCCUUCAAUUUCCUCCUUUGUGUUAACAUCCUGUUCUUUGGUCUAGUCAGCAAGGAACCUGGAAAGUCACUUCUACUGAGAUAGGGUAGGGGUGGCCUGAACUCUACCAAUCCUUCUUUCUGUUCAAGGUGAUUAAUUAUCUGUGGCUUCCAAGAGAGGCUGCCAAAGUUGGACAGAAACCUGCUAAAGAUGCUCAAAUUCUCCAAACGUGGAAACUGGAUGAGAAGACAGAAGUUUGCUUCUAAAAAAUGAGGCCUUUACAAAGCACUUGUGGGAUAGGCAGAGCUGAUGGAUGGCUGUGAGCAGGGGAGCAUGGUAAUAAUGUGCACUUUAAAGGAGAGCCAGGAAUUUUAAUCUGAAGGCUGAUGCCAACUCUUCCCCAGAUCCUCGACAAGGUGAAGUUCAUUCCUGUUGAAACCACAGGGAGUUCUUGCAUUCAUUUCAGCCAGGCCAGGAUGUCACUAUUCUUGAAGGAGUAACAUUGACUGUAGGGAGGAAAGGUGUCUGGGAAUAAAUUAACUACCUUUUACAGUGAUACAUACAUUAUUAUUACUGCAAAACAAUCCCUUGCACAUUAAGUUAAACUUAAGUUUUAUUGAAGAAAAAUAGAAUAAUAACUAUCCAAACCACUGGCUGAUGUAAUGUAUUGAAAGGCUCUGCAUAGCCAAAUGUUUCUGUACUUAUGGCCCAUUACAUUUCAGUUCUCCUUCCAUAGCUGCUGAGCUGUUAACUUGCCAGAAAACUCCCCACUACAUCAUAAUCAAAAAAGUAAGUAAUUAAUACCUUUUUCACUGCACUCAGUGUGAGCAGAGAGUUCCAGUUCCAAUACCUGCACCAGCAUUAGAAAUUUGGAGUUUACAUGUUGACUUGGGAGCAGAGCUGAGGAGAGCAAUGAAGAGAGCUGGGGUGAGGGAAUGGUUAACUCUCUGAUGGAUGUUGGCUGGGUUUCUGGAGGUUUUUUUAUGCAGGGCAAGGCUCCAUUUCUGGCAGUGAGGGAACUGCUGAUCACAUCCCUGGCUAACAGGGCUCAGAAGUGCCUUGUCACUGCCACGGGGUCAUGGGCUUUUCUUGUGACUUGUGCUCAUUCACAUUGCUGGAAAAUAAAACCAUUCACCAUGAAUUCAGGAAGCAAUGCUAGCUUCAAAUAAGCACACAUGAAAUAACAGUUUCCUUGUUUUGGAAGGUAUUGGAAAAGGUGUCUUUUUUUUCCACAUAGGCAGAUUGUUUAAGAAGGGACUGAGAUUAAUGAGUAAGAAUCUCAUAGCACAUGAGAGUUUAAAAGUUUCUGUAUGUACAAGACCCUGAAUUUUUUUUAAUUUUUUUUCUGUUUUGUCUUACAUAGGUUUAUAUCCUUACAUGUCCUUUUAGUUUCACUUUAGCUUUUUGCAUUUAGUAUGCCCCAGAGUGAUAACCUCAGGAUUGGACUUGACUCACAACACAAAUGUCAUGAAACAGCAAACCUUUAACAAAGCCCCUGGUAUCACUGGACAUAUGGCUGUGUUUGGGAAGGGCCAGGCUGCUAAGACAGGUGUACCACAGAGCAACAGGGCACUGUGCUACACAGAGAGCUGGACACUGAUGGCAACAAGGCAAGGGUUUGGGUUGGCUAAAUUUCACAAACAUUAAAUAUAAUUUGAGAAAAUCAAAAAUCACAAAGCAAUGAUUACCAUUGAAGAUGUGACUGUGAAAUGUUUCAGUAUCCUGAAGACAAGCUUUUUUGAAAUUAACAUUAAUUUAAUUUUCACACCACUUAUCCUAGGAUUUAUGUUAGACACAAUCAAAAAUAAUCAAGAAAGAGCAGAUGAAUAACAAAGGAUGGCCUUUGCAGUUAAUACACAGUUGUUGAGGAUAGAGGAAAACAGAACUUAAAUAAAGCACCCUUAAUUUUAACUGUAUAAUGAGGAGGUCACUUUCAGUUAGACAAAAAAGUCCUUGGAAAUGUUGUGGAUAAUUUUCACAUAGUAUUAGCAUUAUUAUUUGGAAGAAUUAUAAAGGUAAGUAGCGCCUUAUAUAUGAUGAAACAAACAAUAUAGGAAUAUAACAAUGUCACUAUUUAAAUUCAUGAAACCAUCUCAUAUACUAGCAGUAGUUCUGGUUGGUCCAAUUCAAGAAAUGAUACAGAAAAAUCAAGGAAAAAAGUCCAAAACAAACAAAAAACCCAACUUGAAACAAAAACUGUAAGACAUUCACAGUAGUUUGGCACUCUUUGGCUUGGAAAAGACAAAGUACCGUGAAUGGAAUAAUGCAUUGUUUUAUAAAACCUUAGAGAUAUUAGAGAGAAAUUUAUGCAGAUUGCAUGCUGUUCUCUUUGUUUAACAGAUUCAGAGGCACCCACUGAAAUUAUUAAAUAGAAUGCAGUAUAAACACAAGGAAAAUCUGUUCCACACUGUUUGUAAUUAUGUAGAAUUUAUUGUUACUGAAUGACAUGGAGAUGAAGAAUAUAAAUGGUCUCAAAGGUAUUAAAUGUAAAAGGAAAGGUCAGUCUCUCUGUAGCAAAUAAACACAUUGCAUCCCUCAGGUGUUGAAGUCUAAGUCACAGAUGGCUGGACCAGGGGAAGACGGAGAGUCCUUGUGUUCAGUGUAUCCUCUGCACGCAUCAGCAGCCACUGCAGGGCACAGAGGCUGGCUAGUACAGUGCACUGGACCUUCCAGCUUGCCCAUUCUGGGAUCUGCCACUGCCACACUUCUGUGUUUAUUCUUUCAUUUUGGAAAUUCAGGUUUGCUUACUGAUUUGAUAAAAUAAGAUCAAGAUGAAUUAGAAUUUCCUGUGGGACAAACCAUCCUAAUUUUGUGUAAUUCUUAUAUCUGAUAUGAAUCACUCUAUCUUGCAUGGAUGAGGGAGCCAGGCUGUUUUUAAAAUUAAUCUGUGCUUUUUUU
Passer domesticus (house sparrow) is the source of this 3841-nucleotide long non-coding RNA. RefSeq lists it as uncharacterized. The transcript is spliced from 2 exons. The record is from RefSeq and is a predicted model, not a curated record. Lineage: Eukaryota; Metazoa; Chordata; Aves; Passeriformes; Passeridae.